Molecule: long non-coding RNA, 276 nt
Organism: Octopus sinensis (East Asian common octopus)
Lineage: Eukaryota; Metazoa; Mollusca; Cephalopoda; Octopoda; Octopodidae
Exons: 2
Source: RefSeq, a predicted model, not a curated record
CAUUCGUAGGCCAUUUGACCAUUGGCUCUUCGUGGUGUAACUGGUCGUAUGGUCAUUAUCAUGCAAUAUCAUUUCAACUGGUUUCUAUUCUAGCAUUUGGUGGGAGGCAGGCUGCCACUGAUGAUCUGCAGCAAUGGUGAAAUCACUCGAUGCAAUAAUUCUUUAGUUAUGAGUGCUUCAACACAUGUCAAAUCACAUGUAAGUAAAGAAUUAACUGUAAUAUCAUAAAUUCCACUCUUUGGAGUAUAAAAGUCGAGAUGCUAUCUUUAAUAGCUA